RNAcentral lists this ribosomal RNA (253 nucleotides) under uncultured bacterium. RNAcentral's name for it is "partial 16S ribosomal RNA". It matches the Rfam family "Bacterial small subunit ribosomal RNA", at positions 524 to 776 of the family's 1533-position model. The record is from RNAcentral.
UACGAAGGGGGCUAGCGUUGUUCGGAAUCACUGGGCGUAAAGCGCGCGUAGGCGGCCCUGUAAGUCCGUUGUGAAAGUCAAAGGCUCAACCUUUGAAAGCCGAUGGAUACUGCAGGGCUAGAGUCCGGAAGAGGCGAGUGGAAUUCCUGGUGUAGCGGUGGAAUGCGCAGAUAUCAGGAGGAACACCAACGGCGAAGGCAGCUCGCUGGGACGGUACUGACGCUAAGGCGCGAAAGCGUGGGGAGCGAACAGG